GAAAAUUUGCUCUUUUAGUAUUUCUCCAGCAGGUUUCUUCAAGGAGCCCCC
Molecule: small nuclear RNA, 51 nt
Filed under: Oncorhynchus mykiss (rainbow trout)
Lineage: Eukaryota; Metazoa; Chordata; Actinopteri; Salmoniformes; Salmonidae
Description: U7 small nuclear RNA (ENSOMYG00000059362.1)
Rfam family: U7 small nuclear RNA
About the family: Animal histone pre-mRNAs are spliced by a different mechanism than nuclear pre-mRNAs and self-splicing introns. This processing involves the U7 snRNP, which contains only one RNA species: U7. The 5' end of U7 RNA is thought to base-pair to a conserved spacer element downstream of the cleavage site in histone pre-mRNA.
Source: RNAcentral